Molecule: long non-coding RNA, 563 nt
Filed under: Medicago truncatula (barrel medic)
Lineage: Eukaryota; Viridiplantae; Streptophyta; Magnoliopsida; Fabales; Fabaceae
Description: long non-coding RNA (MTRU_LNC001996)
Source: RNAcentral
UGAAGAGAAGAACAAGAGUGUUGAAGGGAAAGCUUGAGGAAUCAAUUGGGGUGACCUAGGAGCUGAAUUGAAGCAAGGGUUAGGAAUAAUCAUCUUCAAAGGUAAGGGGGUUAGUUAUUAUCAUAAUCAUGUAUAAUCUUUGCAUUUUCUCAUGUUGUAUGAAAAUGGGUUGAUGAACAAUUGUUGUUAAAUUCGUGCUCUUGCUGUGAUGCUAUUUUCUUGUGCAUGAAUUGAUGAUUAUGGUAUGUUUAUGGGUGAAAUUACAUGUUUCAAAGUAUGUAUAAAUGUUAAGUUAUGAAAUUAUGCUUAAUUGAUGAAAUUUGAUAUGUUUUGAUUGAAAUGAGAUGUGAUUCAUAUUCCAUUGAUGUGGUUAUUGUCAACUGAUGCUAUUGUAAGUGAAUUAUGAUUUGGGUAUACUUAAUUGUGGAUUGAUGAUGAGAAAUAAAUUGUUGUUGGUGGUUUUGUGAAAUUGGUGAAGUUGAGUUAAGUGUUCAUGUGAAGGACCAAAAUGAACUUUUUGAUAUAUAUAUGGUUGUUGACUGAAAUUUUGUUAUUGUUGGAUG